Molecule: non-coding RNA, 82 nt
Organism: Plasmodium vivax (malaria parasite P. vivax)
Lineage: Eukaryota; Apicomplexa; Aconoidasida; Haemosporida; Plasmodiidae
Source: the annotation of a RefSeq genome assembly
GCAAAUACACGCUCAGAAACGCACUUCCCCCGAGCAGGCCUCCCUGCAAAUUUGGCAGUUUAAAUAGAAUAACUUUUUGAAA